RNAcentral lists this ribosomal RNA (795 nucleotides) under uncultured bacterium. RNAcentral's name for it is "bacterial SSU rRNA". It matches the Rfam family "Bacterial small subunit ribosomal RNA", at positions 8 to 796 of the family's 1533-position model. The record is from RNAcentral.
AGAGUUUGAUCCUGGCUCAGAUUGAACGCUGGCGGCAGGCUUAACACAUGCAAGUCGAGCGGUAACAUUUCUAGCUUGCUAGAAGAUGACGAGCGGCGGACGGGUGAGUAAUACUUAGGAAUCUACCUAGUAGUGGGGGAUAGCUCGGGGAAACUCGAAUUAAUACCGCAUACGACCUAUGGGAGAAAGGGGGCAACUUGUUGCUCUCGCUAUUAGAUGAGCCUAAGUCGGAUUAGCUAGAUGGUGGGGUAAAGGCCUACCAUGGCGACGAUCUGUAGCUGGUCUGAGAGGAUGAUCAGCCACACCGGGACUGAGACACGGCCCGGACUCCUACGGGAGGCAGCAGUGGGGAAUAUUGGACAAUGGGGGAAACCCUGAUCCAGCCAUGCCGCGUGUGUGAAGAAGGCCUUUUGGUUGUAAAGCACUUUAAGCAGUGAAGAAGACUCUUCGGUUAAUACCCGGAGACGAUGACAUUAGCUGCAGAAUAAGCACCGGCUAACUCUGUGCCAGCAGCCGCGGUAAUACAGAGGGUGCAAGCGUUAAUCGGAAUUACUGGGCGUAAAGCGAGCGUAGGUGGCUUGAUAAGUCAGAUGUGAAAUCCCCGGGCUUAACCUGGGAACUGCAUCUGAUACUGUUAGGCUAGAGUAGGUGAGAGGAAGGUAGAAUUCCAGGUGUAGCGGUGAAAUGCGUAGAGAUCUGGAGGAAUACCGAUGGCGAAGGCAGCCUUCUGGCAUCAUACUGACACUGAGGCUCGAAAGCGUGGGUAGCAAACAGGAUUAGAUACCCUAGUAGUCC